RNAcentral lists this small nucleolar RNA (107 nucleotides) under Oryza sativa Indica Group (long-grained rice). Its description in RNAcentral is "Plant small nucleolar RNA R71". Lineage: Eukaryota; Viridiplantae; Streptophyta; Magnoliopsida; Poales; Poaceae. The record is from RNAcentral.
AUCCCAUGAUGAGGAUAGGCGGCCACGUACUCCUGUAGCAUUUCCCAUGCUUCAGGAAUCGACUCGUCCCUUCUUUGCUAGAAGCUUAAGAUUCUUAUGUGAAGGGC